AGAAACCGCAUAAUAUGCACCUCCGCCACGUACCAUACCGUUCGUGCAAAUUGCAGAGAUCGAUAGACUUGUAAAUAUACCUACCGCAUAACUAAUAAAUAACAUCAGCAAUGUUUUAAGAACACCAGCUUCUCCAAUAAUCCAAGGAAAUCUCAAAUAAAGAAGGAUGGAGAGUACGUUUAAAGUAGUUGGAAUGAAACAACCUUCAAACGUUCCCAAUUUCACCGCUUCAUUUGGUUGUUCAUUCUCAGCAAACGUUACACUUCUAGACAACGGAGGUAAUUCAUUAAAACUAUUACUACGAUAACUUUGUUGUGGUUCUUGUAAUAAAGGUGUGGAAGACUCUAAAUUUUCCUGUGUUUCCCAAAAUCGUCUGGAUUUUCGUACUGAUAAUCUAUCUGCCAAAAAAUCAAAUACUUGACUUGAUUUAGUUAAAAGUCUUGCCAUAAUCACAAAAAAUUAUCCCCAUUAAAUAUAAAAUAAGGAAGGCAAUAAUUUUGUGGUAGGAACUGUCAAGGUUAUUAAAUACUAAAAAAAUUGGAAAUGGUAAGGAAGAGUGAGUGUAGUCAUGUAAUAGAAACAGGGGUCCCAUAGAUAUAGUAAAACCAUCAGCAGUGAUAUAAGAAAAAUUUUUUGACAAUACUUUGCAACAGAUUACUAUCAAUUCAUGAAAGUUCAUUACCAGCUUGCUUGAAAACAUCGAUGCUCGAAUACACUUACCUCAGUUAAAAAUAGGACUACUGAACACUAUGAGUGAAACGUUUUGUAGAAAGGGAGAAAUUUUACUCAAAUAAAUGGCCAUAAAUCGAAAAUCAAUGAUAUCAUAAAAUGUUUACAAUUACAAUUGCAAUUUGGGGACUAAACGGAAAAAAUAAAGAAAUAUCUAAAUAUUAGUAAUAUAAGUAGUGUAAAUUAAGGCCAAUUACAUUUCCACGUAUUAUAAUGCCAAUAUUCACUUCAUCAAAAUCACUUCUUUGGAGAUGCACUACGAAAACUUUGAAACACGUUUUUUUCUUUUGAUUCACCUUUGGCCUUACUAGGAAAAGUAGGAAAAAAUUUAGGAUCCUUGGGUCUGGGAGAUUCGUAAAAAUAAGGAUGUUCUAGUGCUUCUUUGGCAGAUAUUCUCUUCGCAGGAUUUAGACUUAAAAGUCGAUUUAAUAAAUCGUACGCGUUUCCCGUUAAAUUAGGGAUAGAAGUACGAAUCUUAGAGUGGGUAGGGACCGUAGGGUGUUUAAUUUUGUUUGCAUAAGGAAGAAGAAAAUAUUGGGGCCACUCUUCCCUAGUCGGAUAACCGAGCAAAUUGAAUAUCUUAAUAUUAUUG
Molecule: non-coding RNA, 1321 nt
Organism: Schizosaccharomyces pombe (fission yeast)
Lineage: Eukaryota; Fungi; Ascomycota; Schizosaccharomycetes; Schizosaccharomycetales; Schizosaccharomycetaceae
Source: the annotation of a GenBank genome assembly